AAUAGCGGCCACCACUCGAGCCGCCGCGGUAAUACCGGCUGCCCGAGUGAUGGCCACUAUUACUGGGUUUAAAGCGUCCGUAGCUUGACUGUUAGGUCUCUUGGGAAAUCUUCGCGCUCAACGUGAAGGCGUCUAAGAGAUACCGGCAGUCUUGGAACUGGGAGAGGUAAACCGUACUUCGGGGGUAGGAGUGAAAUCUUGUAAUCCUCGAGGGACGACCUAUGGCGAAGGCAGUUUACCAGAACAGCUUCGACAGUGAGGGACGAAAGCUGGGGGAGCAAACGGGAUUAGAUACCCCGGUAGUCCCAGCCGUAAACAAUGUGCGUUAGGUGUGUCGGUAACCACGUGUUACUGAUGCGCCGAGGAGAAAUCGUGAAACGCACCACCUGGGAAGUACGGUCGCAAGGCUGAAACUUAAAGGGAUUGGCGGGGGAGCACCACAACAGGUGGAGCCUGCGGUUUAAUUGGAUUCAACGCCGGG
Molecule: ribosomal RNA, 481 nt
Filed under: uncultured archaeon
Lineage: Archaea
Description: bacterial SSU rRNA
Rfam family: Archaeal small subunit ribosomal RNA
Source: RNAcentral